UUGUACACACCGCCCGUCACACCACGAGAGUUUACAACACCCGAAGUCAGUGGCCUAACCGCAAGGAGGGAGCUGCCUAAGGUGGGGUAGAUGAU
RNAcentral lists this ribosomal RNA (95 nucleotides) under uncultured bacterium. RNAcentral describes it as "partial 16S ribosomal RNA". It matches the Rfam family "Bacterial small subunit ribosomal RNA", at positions 1381 to 1475 of the family's 1533-position model. The record is from RNAcentral.